UACAGAGGUGGCAAGCGUUGUUCGGAAUUACUGGGCGUAAAGGGCGCGUAGGCGGCCCGUCAAGUCCCGUGUGAAAGCCCCCGGCUCAACCGGGGAACGGCGCGGGAAACUAGCAGGCUUGAGUUCGGGAGAGGGAUGCAGAAUUCCAGGUGUAGCGGUGAAAUGCGUAGAUAUCUGGAGGAAUACCGGUGGCGAAGGCGGCAUCCUGGACCGACAUUGACGCUGAUGAGCGAAAGCUAGGGGAGCAAACGGG
This 253-nucleotide ribosomal RNA is filed under the name uncultured bacterium. RNAcentral's name for it is "partial 16S ribosomal RNA". It matches the Rfam family "Bacterial small subunit ribosomal RNA", at positions 524 to 776 of the family's 1533-position model. The record is from RNAcentral.